GCCCAAUUUCGCACGUGCCUGUGGUCGCGUGCCGGUUGGCGGGAUGCCGGACAAGAGGCCGGUUUGCCCGCCCGAUAUGCGGAGACAAGUGUUCCCCGCAUUUUUGACCGACCGGCAGCCGGAGGCGAAACCGGCCCACUCUGCUCUCCGCAGGGGACGGGACUUAAAGCAACGACGGAACGGGCUUUU
This 189-nucleotide small RNA is filed under the name Pseudochelatococcus contaminans. RNAcentral describes it as "Alphaproteobacterial sRNA ar45". It matches the Rfam family "Alphaproteobacterial sRNA ar45". The record is from Rfam by way of RNAcentral. Lineage: Bacteria; Pseudomonadati; Pseudomonadota; Alphaproteobacteria; Hyphomicrobiales; Chelatococcaceae.